RNAcentral lists this ribosomal RNA (753 nucleotides) under uncultured Comamonadaceae bacterium. Its description in RNAcentral is "bacterial SSU rRNA". It matches the Rfam family "Bacterial small subunit ribosomal RNA", at positions 28 to 776 of the family's 1533-position model. Lineage: Bacteria; Pseudomonadati; Pseudomonadota; Betaproteobacteria; Burkholderiales; Comamonadaceae. The record is from RNAcentral.
AUUGAACGCUGGCGGCAUGCCUUACACAUGCAAGUCGAACGGCAGCACGGGAGCAAUCCUGGUGGCGAGUGGCGAACGGGUGAGUAAUACAUCGGAACGUGCCCAAUCGUGGGGGGUAACGCAGCGAAAGCUGUGCUAAUACCGCAUACGGUCUACGGAUGAAAGCAGGGGAUCGCAAGACCUUGCGCGAAUGGAGCGGCCGAUGGCAGAUUAGGUAGUUGGUGAGGUAAAGGCUCACCAAGCCGUCGAUCUGUAGCUGGUCUGAGAGGACGACCAGCCACACUGGGACUGAGACACGGCCCAGACUCCUACGGGAGGCAGCAGUGGGGAAUUUUGGACAAUGGGCGAAAGCCUGAUCCAGCCAUGCCGCGUGCAGGAUGAAGGCCUUCGGGUUGUAAACUGCUUUUGUACGGAACGAAACGGCCUUUUCUAAUAAAGAGGGCUAAUGACGGUACCGUAAGAAUAAGCACCGGCUAACUACGUGCCAGCAGCCGCGGUAAUACGUAGGGUGCAAGCGUUAAUCGGAAUUACUGGGCGUAAAGCGUGCGCAGGCGGUUAUGUAAGACAGUUGUGAAAUCCCCGGGCUCAACCUGGGAACUGCAUCUGUGACUGCAUAGCUAGAGUACGGUAGAGGGGGAUGGAAUUCCGCGUGUAGCAGUGAAAUGCGUAGAUAUGCGGAGGAACACCGAUGGCGAAGGCAAUCCCCUGGACCUGUACUGACGCUCAUGCACGAAAGCGUGGGGAGCAAACAGG